UGCCUUUAAUAAAAACCUAGAAUAGACGAUAUGAGAAGAAGAGAACACUCCUUUGAGAAAAGAAGGUAUCAGUGCCGUUUACCCAAAAGAGGGAGGACUGCUCUCUACUAUCACUUUUGAACGACACAAAAACAACCCCUCUUCUUCAUCUCCCACUCCUUGCUGAAGAUAAGAAUAUCCCAUAUGUUUUUGUUCCCUCAAAGCAAGCUCUUGGUCGAGCAUGUGGUGUUACCCGACCUGUGAUUGCUGCUUCUGUAACAAGCAACGAAGGAAGUCAAUUGAAAUCACAAAUUCAACAAUUGAAGACCAUUAUUUGGUCUGGAUUUUGGCGUUUCGCUGCUGUCCAAACUGUUGCUGAGCUCCGGUUUUCGAUUUCGGCUUUUAUUCGACUUUUCCCCUUUUCUAAAUUUGAACCUUGUGCAACGAGCUUGAUGCAACACUCACGGGCACAGGCGUUACUUCUGCUGCUUUGGAGCGUCCAUUGCCAUUUGUAUGGGAUGGCAAAUCGUCAAAGCCCCAAAAUUUAGCAGUUUUAACAUCUUCUUAGCCAUCAAUCUUGAAAAUUCUUCAUGAUCGUAAUUCAAUGUAGCUUUCUCCCCAAAUUCUCUUGGAAGAUUCUCAGCAUCGAAAAAUAUCUUCAUCAACUCCGUGCUCUCUUUGUUAUUCGGAUACACAAACUUUAUCUUCGCAAAUGUUUUUGCAUCAAUUAAAUAUUUUACAACCUGCAGAACAAUGAACAGAUUGUAUUGACUUGUCAAAAAAAAGGGGUCUUCCUUAAACUUUUAAUGAA
This is a long non-coding RNA of Nicotiana tabacum (common tobacco), 790 nucleotides long. RefSeq lists it as uncharacterized. Lineage: Eukaryota; Viridiplantae; Streptophyta; Magnoliopsida; Solanales; Solanaceae. The record is from RefSeq and is a predicted model, not a curated record.